This 2932-nucleotide ribosomal RNA is filed under the name Escherichia coli. Its description in RNAcentral is "bacterial LSU rRNA". It matches the Rfam family "Bacterial large subunit ribosomal RNA". Lineage: Bacteria; Pseudomonadati; Pseudomonadota; Gammaproteobacteria; Enterobacterales; Enterobacteriaceae. The record is from RNAcentral.
GGGUUGUGAGGUUAAGCGACUAAGCGUACACGGUGGAUGCCCUGGCAGUCAGAGGCGAUGAAGGACGUGCUAAUCUGCGAUAAGCGUCGGUAAGGUGAUAUGAACCGUUAUAACCGGCGAUUUCCGAAUGGGGAAACCCAGUGUGAUUCGUCACACUAUCAUUAACUGAAUCCAUAGGUUAAUGAGGCGAACCGGGGGAACUGAAACAUCUAAGUACCCCGAGGAAAAGAAAUCAACCGAGAUUCCCCCAGUAGCGGCGAGCGAACGGGGAGCAGCCCAGAGCCUGAAUCAGUGUGUGUGUUAGUGGAAGCGUCUGGAAAGGCGUGCGAUACAGGGUGACAGCCCCGUACACAAAAAUGCACAUGCUGUGAGCUCGAUGAGUAGGGCGGGACACGUGGUAUCCUGUCUGAAUAUGGGGGGACCAUCCUCCAAGGCUAAAUACUCCUGACUGACCGAUAGUGAACCAGUACCGUGAGGGAAAGGCGAAAAGAACCCCGGCGAGGGGAGUGAAAAAGAACCUGAAACCGUGUACGUACAAGCAGUGGGAGCACAGAGCAAUCUGUGUGACUGCGUACCUUUUGUAUAAUGGGUCAGCGACUUAUAUUCUGUAGCAAGGUUAACCGAAUAGGGGAGCCGAAGGGAAACCGAGUCUUAACUGGGCGUUAAGUUGCAGGGUAUAGACCCGAAACCCGGUGAUCUAGCCAUGGGCAGGUUGAAGGUUGGGUAACACUAACUGGAGGACCGAACCGACUAAUGUUGAAAAAUUAGCGGAUGACUUGUGGCUGGGGGUGAAAGGCCAAUCAAACCGGGAGAUAGCUGGUUCUCCCCGAAAGCUAUUUAGGUAGCGCCUCGUGAAUUCAUCUCCGGGGGUAGAGCACUGUUUCGGCAAGGGGGUCAUCCCGACUUACCAACCCGAUGCAAACUGCGAAUACCGGAGAAUGUUAUCACGGGAGACACACGGCGGGUGCUAACGUCCGUCGUGAAGAGGGAAACAACCCAGACCGCCAGCUAAGGUCCCAAAGUCAUGGUUAAGUGGGAAACGAUGUGGGAAGGCCCAGACAGCCAGGAUGUUGGCUUAGAAGCAGCCAUCAUUUAAAGAAAGCGUAAUAGCUCACUGGUCGAGUCGGCCUGCGCGGAAGAUGUAACGGGGCUAAACCAUGCACCGAAGCUGCGGCAGCGACACUAUGUGUUGUUGGGUAGGGGAGCGUUCUGUAAGCCUGCGAAGGUGUGCUGUGAGGCAUGCUGGAGGUAUCAGAAGUGCGAAUGCUGACAUAAGUAACGAUAAAGCGGGUGAAAAGCCCGCUCGCCGGAAGACCAAGGGUUCCUGUCCAACGUUAAUCGGGGCAGGGUGAGUCGACCCCUAAGGCGAGGCCGAAAGGCGUAGUCGAUGGGAAACAGGUUAAUAUUCCUGUACUUGGUGUUACUGCGAAGGGGGGACGGAGAAGGCUAUGUUGGCCGGGCGACGGUUGUCCCGGUUUAAGCGUGUAGGCUGGUUUUCCAGGCAAAUCCGGAAAAUCAAGGCUGAGGCGUGAUGACGAGGCACUACGGUGCUGAAGCAACAAAUGCCCUGCUUCCAGGAAAAGCCUCUAAGCAUCAGGUAACAUCAAAUCGUACCCCAAACCGACACAGGUGGUCAGGUAGAGAAUACCAAGGCGCUUGAGAGAACUCGGGUGAAGGAACUAGGCAAAAUGGUGCCGUAACUUCGGGAGAAGGCACGCUGAUAUGUAGGUGAAGUCCCUCGCGGAUGGAGCUGAAAUCAGUCGAAGAUACCAGCUGGCUGCAACUGUUUAUUAAAAACACAGCACUGUGCAAACACGAAAGUGGACGUAUACGGUGUGACGCCUGCCCGGUGCCGGAAGGUUAAUUGAUGGGGUCAGCGCAAGCGAAGCUCUUGAUCGAAGCCCCGGUAAACGGCGGCCGUAACUAUAACGGUCCUAAGGUAGCGAAAUUCCUUGUCGGGUAAGUUCCGACCUGCACGAAUGGCGUAAUGAUGGCCAGGCUGUCUCCACCCGAGACUCAGUGAAAUUGAACUCGCUGUGAAGAUGCAGUGUACCCGCGGCAAGACGGAAAGACCCCGUGAACCUUUACUAUAGCUUGACACUGAACAUUGAGCCUUGAUGUGUAGGAUAGGUGGGAGGCUUUGAAGUGUGGACGCCAGUCUGCAUGGAGCCGACCUUGAAAUACCACCCUUUAAUGUUUGAUGUUCUAACGUUGACCCGUGAUCCGGGUUGCGGACAGUGUCUGGUGGGUAGUUUGACUGGGGCGGUCUCCUCCUAAAGAGUAACGGAGGAGCACGAAGGUUGGCUAAUCCUGGUCGGACAUCAGGAGGUUAGUGCAAUGGCAUAAGCCAGCUUGACUGCGAGCGUGACGGCGCGAGCAGGUGCGAAAGCAGGUCAUAGUGAUCCGGUGGUUCUGAAUGGAAGGGCCAUCGCUCAACGGAUAAAAGGUACUCCGGGGAUAACAGGCUGAUACCGCCCAAGAGUUCAUAUCGACGGCGGUGUUUGGCACCUCGAUGUCGGCUCAUCACAUCCUGGGGCUGAAGUAGGUCCCAAGGGUAUGGCUGUUCGCCAUUUAAAGUGGUACGCGAGCUGGGUUUAGAACGUCGUGAGACAGUUCGGUCCCUAUCUGCCGUGGGCGCUGGAGAACUGAGGGGGGCUGCUCCUAGUACGAGAGGACCGGAGUGGACGCAUCACUGGUGUUCGGGUUGUCAUGCCAAUGGCACUGCCCGGUAGCUAAAUGCGGAAGAGAUAAGUGCUGAAAGCAUCUAAGCACGAAACUUGCCCCGAGAUGAGUUCUCCCUGACUCCUUGAGAGUCCUGAAGGAACGUUGAAGACGACGACGUUGAUAGGCCGGGUGUGUAAGCGCAGCGAUGCGUUGAGCUAACCGGUACUAAUGAACCGUGAGGCUUAACCUUACAACGCCGAAGGUGUUU